UGAACGCUGGCGGCGUGCCUAAUACAUGCAAGUCGAGCGAACGGACGCGAAGCUUGCUUUUCUGAUGUUAGCGGCGGACGGGUGAGUAACACGUGGAUAACCUACCUAUAAGACUGGGAUAACUUCGGGAAACCGGAGCUAAUACCGGAUAAUAUUUUGAACCGCAUGGUUCAAAAGUGAAAGACGGUCUUGCUGUCACUUAUAGAUGGAUCCGCGCUGCAUUAGCUAGUUGGUAAGGUAACGGCUUACCAAGGCAACGAUGCAUAGCCGACCUGAGAGGGUGAUCGGCCACACUGGAACUGAGACACGGUCCAGACUCCUACGGGAGGCAGCAGUAGGGAAUCUUCCGCAAUGGGCGAAAGCCUGACGGAGCAACGCCGCGUGAGUGAUGAAGGUCUUCGGAUCGUAAAACUCUGUUAUUAGGGAAGAACAUAUGUGUAAGUAACUGUGCACAUCUUGACGGUACCUAAUCAGAAAGCCACGGCUAACUACGUG
RNAcentral lists this ribosomal RNA (495 nucleotides) under uncultured bacterium. RNAcentral's name for it is "partial 16S ribosomal RNA". It matches the Rfam family "Bacterial small subunit ribosomal RNA", at positions 30 to 507 of the family's 1533-position model. The record is from RNAcentral.